CACACACACACACACACACACGCCCUGUUAGCUGCUGCCCAGGAGAGGAGCUCUUCACUGAGGACCCACCAUGCACUCCCUGUCAGUGCACUUCCUCCUCCACACAGUCCCGCGAACUGCGUUUGCUGUCGUUCCCAUUUAUCUGUGAGGGAUCCCAGGCUCAGGGAGUAACUUCUCCGAGGUCACACAGCCAGUGCGGGGUGAAGGAUUCCAGAACCUUCCCACUGCAGAAGAGGGCGUUGCUUUUCCUGCCUCCAUGGCCCUGUGCAGUCGGCCUUCCUACACGCUCAGGUGGGACUCAGGAGCUACAGUCAAUAAAUUCUGAUUCUAACUUACAAGCACAUCCCACCCCACCCCCAGCCGUCACAGGAACAGCCGGAGAGUCUGAGCUUGUCUCUCAGACCAAGCAUGCAACCUUCUCACUCAGGGCUGCCCAUGUGCCAUCAGGCAUUGGUGAGUUCAUCCAGCCCCAAUGCCUCCCUUCCCACUUCCCCUCUCGCCUCCUCUCACCCGCUGGCCCUCCCUGCAAAGUGA
Myotis lucifugus (little brown bat) is the source of this 534-nucleotide long non-coding RNA. RefSeq lists it as uncharacterized. The record is from RefSeq and is a predicted model, not a curated record. NCBI's taxonomy places the organism in Eukaryota, Metazoa, Chordata, Mammalia, Chiroptera, Vespertilionidae. The transcript is spliced from 2 exons.